GAUGAAGAACGUAGCGAAAUGCGAUACGUAAUGUGAAUUGCAGAAUUCAGUGAAUCAUCGAGUCUUUGAACGCACAUUGCGCCCCCUGGUAUUCCGGGAGGCAUGCCUGUCCGAGCGUCGUUUCAACCCUCGAGCCCCCGUGGCCCGGCGUUGGGGAUCUGCCACGGCAGGCCCCUAAAACCAGUGGCGGACCCGAAGGCCCUCUCCUUUGCGCAGUAGCAUCAGCCUCGCAUUGGGAUCCCUCGGCGUCCUGCCUCUAAACCCCCCACAAGUCCGCUCCGGCGGCACCAAGGUUGACCUCGGAUCAGGUAGGAAUACCCGCUGAACUUAAGCAUAUCAAUAAGCGGAGGA
RNAcentral lists this unclassified non-coding RNA (351 nucleotides) under soil metagenome. RNAcentral's name for it is "partial contains 5.8S ribosomal RNA, internal transcribed spacer 2, and large subunit ribosomal RNA". The stretch from base 1 to 120 matches the Rfam family "5.8S ribosomal RNA", at positions 35 to 154 of the family's 154-position model. The record is from RNAcentral.